Molecule: ribosomal RNA, 460 nt
Filed under: uncultured bacterium
Lineage: Bacteria
Description: bacterial SSU rRNA
Rfam family: Bacterial small subunit ribosomal RNA
Source: RNAcentral
AGUGAACGGCUGGCGGCAGGCCUAACACAUGCAAGUCGAGCGGCAGCGCGGGGGCAACCCUGGCGGCGAGCGGCGGACGGGUGAGGAAUGCAUCGGAAUCUACCUCGUUGUGGGGGAUAACCUCGGGAAACCGGGACUAAUACCGCAUACGACCUACGGGUGAAAGUGGGGGACCUUCGGGCCUCACGCGAUGAGAUGAGCCGAUGCCGGAUUAGCUAGUUGGCGGGGUAAAGGCCCACCAAGGCGACGAUCCGUAGCUGGUCUGAGAGGAUGAUCAGCCACACUGGAACUGAGACACGGUCCAGACUCCUACGGGAGGCAGCAGUGGGGAAUAUUGGACAAUGGGGGAGACCCUGACCCAGCGACGCCGCGUGAGGGAAGACGGCCUUCGGGUUGUAAACCUCUUUUGUACGGGAAGAUAAUGACGGUACUGUACGAAUAAGUCCCGGCUAACUACGUG